GGCAAAUUCCAGCCUGCUCUGCCUCCUUGGAAGGGCUGACCCUAGUGAACCUCCUGUUGCAAACUGUUGUCACGAAGGGCAGUGCUAAGAAAGUGAUUUCAUCAGGGAUGCACGAACCUGGUCCUGUGGCUGGGCUGGGCCAGGCCAGAGGCCCCACCCCAUGGCACACCUGAUCAGGUGGGUAUAAAACAGCCAACCAGCCUCAGCACUCACAGGAGCUUCUCUCUGGCAUCAUGCAUUCCAGUGGCCUCUUCUCCCUUCUGCUGCUCCUGGUCCUUGGGACCCUGGUGUCCGAGGCCUCAAAAGGUAUAACCCCUUCUAAAGGGCAUCAUCAUCAAGCAUCCAAGAAUCAAGUCAUGAAGAGCCCUACCAAGCCUCACCCUGUAUCUAAGAGUCCUUCUCCAGCCAAGCCCCUUGGUUCAAACAAGAUCUCUUCUUCUUCACCCAAGGUUCAUCCUAAACCCAAAAGCCUAACUUCUUGGAAGUCAGAUUAAGUUCUUAUGUGAAGACCAUGGAGUGCUAGAGCUGAAGCAUCAUCUUUCCCUCAAGUCCCUACCCUGAGAUUUCUCCUUUGGACCUCUGAAUGGGAGAGAUUGUCUCCCUUCCUGGGUCUUUUCUUCCAAACACCAAUAAAGGCACAACAUUCCCCUGC
RNAcentral lists this long non-coding RNA (652 nucleotides) under Vombatus ursinus (common wombat). RNAcentral's name for it is "lncRNA (ENSVURG00010001932.1)". The record is from RNAcentral. Lineage: Eukaryota; Metazoa; Chordata; Mammalia; Diprotodontia; Vombatidae.